ACACCGACAUAAUGGACAGGACUACUCAGCUCAUCGAAAGGACAAUUCCAACCACAUCCAAUCAGGUCUCAAAUUUCUGAGGUAAGGGUCCACGGAAAGAGAAUUGAUGUCUGCCAGUGGAAAAGAAUGAUGCUAAUGAAGAUACAAAUGGAAGUUCAGAACCACCAUAAAGCAUGCUAGCAAAUAACAACAAAGACCGGGGGUAGGCAGCAAGGAACAGGCAGGGCAGCUGCUGGUGUGACUGUCAGCAGCGGAAGCGGGACCUACCAUCCCCUACUGUACAGAUGAAGCUCUCAGUGUUGACCUCAGUAGGGCCUUUGCAAAUAAGGCAGGGCAGAAAGAUGUCAUCUGCUGUCACUGAACAGAGAUUCCUAGGAGGAAGGACAAGAAAAAAAAAAAACAGCAAGAAGUCAUUUGAAACCUUCUGGAUUUUUCUCUAGUAUCAACAGAUGCAGCUUUUAAGUAUAAAAGCAGUGUCCAGUGACUACAGGGAAUUCACCACAGGGAAUUUGAAGAUGGAUAGAGUUAGUCAUUCAGCUAAUGUUUAUAUGUGAUGUGUCCGUGUUGUUCAAGCACCAAUGACCUGCUAAUAAACAGAGCAUUGUUUCAUCACACAUUUCACUGUGGGGAGUAGAAGAUGAACACACAAAUGUUUAACAUGCCAGAAUUAACGUGCUUGCAUCGGUUGCUACUGUCAGCCUGAUAGGAGAGACACAAGCCUCUGGGCGGGUGGGAGGGAUUCUCUAUACCAGGCUAGUUCAGGUGGGAAGACAUACUAUAAAUAUGGGGAGCAACAGCCUUUGGGCUGGGUCCUGGAAUGUGUAAAGACCUGCAUCUCCCACCCUUCGACAUAGCUGUAGCCAUUUUGUUUCCAUGCCUGCCUGCUAUUUUGUAUUGUUGCUGUAAUAUGCCUGCCAGUCAUCGAUACAGAAAAAUAACUCAGAGCAGGGCCAUGCUGACCACAUACCCUGUCAUGUCCUGUAUGUUCUGAGGUUUGUUAAUCUUAAGAAAUUUGACAACCAUACGCUUCACUUAAGACUGAUCAGAAAAAAAGGUCAAUUAGAACUGUUCUGUCUAGCUAGCCAAAAAAGUUUGAGUCAAGAGCUGACCACUAGGCAGCACUUCCUGUACCUGCACGGGAGCUCAUUGUGGUUUUUAUCACUUAUAAGCCAGCUCGGAGAAAUGUUCAAGCUUGUAGCUUCAGCCCCUGAAUUCUGAGCUAUGGCCCUGAUUGAUCGGUCUUAGGGUGUACAGUCUAUAAACCAUCCCUGUUUCGCUAAGAUGUCUGUGGGGUUUGUGGGGUGACUCCUGGACCCCCAACAGAAUGAUUUAAAUCGAGAAAGCAAGCUGAGAACUUGCAAGCAUCCAUCUCCCUAUUUCCUGACUAUGCAUACAUACAUGAGAUCAGGUGCCUCACACCCUUGCUGCUGUGAUUUUCCCACCAUGAUGCUGCACUCAACUGUGAAUGGAAAUGAACCUUUCUCUCU
Molecule: long non-coding RNA, 1487 nt
Filed under: Mus pahari (shrew mouse)
Lineage: Eukaryota; Metazoa; Chordata; Mammalia; Rodentia; Muridae
Description: lncRNA (MGP_PahariEiJ_G0004555.1)
Source: RNAcentral